Molecule: ribosomal RNA, 502 nt
Filed under: uncultured bacterium
Lineage: Bacteria
Description: partial 16S ribosomal RNA
Rfam family: Bacterial small subunit ribosomal RNA
Source: RNAcentral
GAUUAACGCUGGCGGCGUGCCUAACACAUGCAAGUCGAGCGGCAGCGAGUUUUACACUGUCUUCUGGAAGCUUCUAGUUGAAAGAGAAGAUUUAUUCAAGAAUUUUGUGUAAAAUGUCGGCGAGCGGCGGACGGCUGAGUAACGCGUCGGAACGUACCUCAAAGCGAGGGAUAACGCAUCGAAAGGUGUUCUUAUACCGCAUAUGGUCUUCGGCUUCAAGCCUUCGGGCGCUUUGGGAACGGCCUGCGUAAGAAUAGGUCGUUGGUGGGGUAAUGGCCUACCAAGGGGACGGUGGUUAACUGGUGAGAGAGGAAGAUCAGUCAGACUGGAAGUGAGCCACGGUCCAGACUCGUGCGGGAGGCAGAAAUGAGGAAUCUGCCACAGUGGGAGAAAGCCUGAUGGAGAAACGCUGGGAGAAGGAUGAAGGCCUGCAGGUUGUAAUGUGCUUUUAAAAGUGAGGAUUGUGACAGUAACUUAUGAAUAAGAAUCGGCUAACUACGUG